AUCAGCAAUAUGAACAUUUUAAUAAGGUUGCUGUGGUGGUCGAUGAACUGCUUCAUGAGCAAGGCGCCAAGCACACUG
Zingiber officinale is the source of this 78-nucleotide long non-coding RNA. RefSeq lists it as uncharacterized. The transcript has 3 exons. Lineage: Eukaryota; Viridiplantae; Streptophyta; Magnoliopsida; Zingiberales; Zingiberaceae. The record is from RefSeq and is a predicted model, not a curated record.